Molecule: long non-coding RNA, 17191 nt
Organism: Drosophila yakuba
Lineage: Eukaryota; Metazoa; Arthropoda; Insecta; Diptera; Drosophilidae
Exons: 2
Source: RefSeq, a predicted model, not a curated record
UCGGCGUUUUCGCCAUAACUUGGCCAAAAAUGACCGCACAGCUUAAAUAUAGACUGUUUUGUGUUGCUAAUAAACAUAGCUAACUAUGUCUGUACCUACUUUUAAACGGAGUGGCCAACAAAUGCAGCCUGUCAACCGGGCAACCGAAACAAUGCAAAGUAAGCUCUCUGUCAUUUUGCAUUUUGCAAUUUGCAAUUGGAGUAGCCCACCUCACGGCUGCACAAAAAGUGAAAAAAAGGGUGUCAGGGCCAGAAGUGGAAAAGGAGAAGGAGCUGAAGCUGGAGCUGGAGGUGGUUUCAUUUUCAAAAUCCAAAUCCCUUUAAUGCCCCGGCGACAAAGUGUCUUGUGUCCACAGACGCAGCCGUAAUUUUUGUGCAGCGGCUUCAGGUGUCCGCUUCGCACCUGGGGCAAGCACCCAAAGCCGGCAAUUUAUGGCGGGCCUGACACAAUUUCAUAAGGCCCCCAAAAGGCUCGCAUCUCAGAGCCGGAGUCGAACUGGUAGUACGGGCAAAAGAUUACGCGAUUGUGGCUAAAAAUAGCUGGCCAUAUUGCAGCUAAAGGUCAGCCGGCCUCGAAGAUGCAGCUGCUAUCUGCUGACUGAUUUACAAGCCAAGUGCAAGUCGCUCAUAAGUUGGCCUCUCUGGACUUGCCACACUUGCGACAUUGAAUUAUGCGCGGCGAGGGAAAGUGCUGUCAUCGCCAGCCGAAUCUGUAUCUGUAGCUUUAGCUGUAUCUGUAGCUCUAGCUGUAUCUGUAGCUUUAGCUGUAUCUGUAUCUGAAUCCGAAACCGAAUCCGAAUCGAAAUCGACAGCGUUCAAACGUUGCACCUCCGGAGACGGAAUGAGAUGCAAUGGAUUGGUAUGCGAUGACAUUUUAUUUAUGCACGGCGUGGCCAGCUGUUGAGAGCAUUAAAUUAAUGCGCUUAGUGGCCAUCAUCGAUGUCCCAGGUCCGCGUCUGGCAAUUGAUAUUUUAAUCGCCAUUUCAUUUUGUCUGCCGCGACUUGGCAACUGGCGCCAUGGCAAGUCCGGUGCUUAGGGAGCUGCUACACAGCCAGAAAAAGUUGAUAGCCUUCUUCAGCAGUUGGAAAUUAGAGGGAUUGAAAAGAUAGGUCAUCUAGCAAUUGUGCAGAUGAAAACCGACAUUCCACAUACCUUACAAAACCAUACAGAUCUUAAAUGAAUCAAUAUAUCUCUCAGGUAUACAUAUGUACAUAUAUGCUAGAAUUAAAUGCGAUUUGGAAUGCAAGUUUUUUUCUGUGUGCAGGUUAUCAGCUAUCAUUAUGAACUUGGGCCCAUACGUGUUGCCUGUUCGCUUGCCUUAUGGGCACGCAUUUUGCAACUCCCAAUUAAAAUGUUAUUCAAUGCGUCGCCGAACGCGACUUAUAAACACAUAAACACAUUUCCCCCGAUAAGACGACGAGCUGAAAGCCACAACUUUAAUGCCGCUUAACUCAAAUGAUAUGGCCAUAAACAGAAGCCCAAGCAGAAACUGAAACAGAAACUGCAACUGAAACUGAAAUUGGAAAACGGAAGUGGAAUCCGUCUGGCAAAUGGUCACAAGAGUUGGCAAAUAUUCAAGGCACAUGUGUCGGGAAAAACUGCAGGCGAUAAAACACACAGCUGAACAACAAUGUUUUCACAGCGAUGGGGAAAUUCCGAUCGAUAGGAAAACAUUUUGCUUGGUUGAGAAACUUCGAAGUGUAGGCCUCCAAGAAAUAUAAUAAAAAUAAAUGGGCCUUUAAAAUCAAGUUAUAAAAUCGGAAACAUGCAUUUCAUAGAACCGUACUAAAGAUAAAAGUCUAUAGUAUACUGGCAAACAUUAAAUAUAUUUCUAUAAAAAUAUAAAAAAGAUUGUUUUAGUUAUUAAUAAACUGUAAAUAGUUAUUUAAGAUGCUCUCGGAAUUAUGUCUUUUAAACACUUGAAAACGCAUCGAAAGUAAUUAAAAUGUGAUUGCACUUGAGUUCUGGCUAAAGUGGCUUUGCCUGGCCAUAAAAACUAAGACUCCUUCUUCAACCCGGCCAAUUGCAGCUAAUCUUCGUUAAGAGUCAUUGAUAGUUUCCCGAGGAUUAACGAUCGUUUCCGCUUUCCGCCAGCUAAAGAGCUGAAAGAGCCUCCACCAGAAAUAGGCUGGAAAUUCUUUUGAAAUUGAGCGAAUCUCGCAGACGCAUAAGCAUAAAAAUUCCUUAAGAUGCGCCUCCCUCACGGAGGGCAAUGGAUUUGUGUGUUAUUUUUAGCUCCUGGCUGGAUAUAUCCAUGGAUCGGAGCCACUUAAACGACGGCUGUGCGCUGCGCUCAUCCAGGCCAACGCAUUGGCAAAUAACACGGCAACUUUUGCUUUUGCCACAGACCCCCAUCCUAUACAUCCCACCCAUCCUAGCCAUUUUACCAAACCCCCUGGAUUUGUUCAGCAAAAAAGUGAAAUCCUUUUAAAGCGGCAGCAAACAAAAAUCUAGGAAAAUGUCGCCGCCAAAAUGUUAUAAAUCUUGUUCAUAUUUGCACGUGAAGCCAAAGCCCAAGCCAAAGCCACUGACACAGCCUUACUCUUAGCCAAAUGCAGACUUUCAGGCCAGGUUGGGAAGCCAUAAAUGUCACUGGAGGCGGCCAAGAGCGGCCUGGCAUAUUAGUUUUCCACGGAGCGAGUGGCAAAACGUGCUAAAUUCCAUGGGGCAGACGUGUCCAUUAAAGAGCCGCUUGCUGCCUGGCCGAAACAUGCCACAGCUGAAAAGUGCUAAAAUCUCAUAAAACAUUGCCUGACUGCUGAUUCUAAAUUAACUUUGGCUUCCCCGCCGGCACAGUGAUUCGAGAUGGUGGGAAAAACGUGUUCCAAAUGGAACGUAGUUCUACUUUCUAGCCAAUACUAAAUGGCACAUGGGUAUAGCAGAGUCGCACUAUUUAUUUACGAAUUAAUAAAUGACACUUUCAUAUUUCAAGAAUAUAUUUUAAGAUUUUAUUAGCUUUUAAUAGCACUUUAGUAUUUUAAGAAUAUAUUUUAUGAUUUUAAUAGCUCGUUCCUUAGUGUUUCAGGAAUAUAUUUUCAGAUUUUAAUAGCUUGCAGUGUUUUAAUGCUUUUUAUGAGCCAUUAUUUCAGUGUAUGCAGUUUAAUAUAAAAUCUUUCUAUAAACGUUUAACUUGCAACAAUAACAUCUUUCUAUAUAAGUUUUACUUGCAAUAUUAAAAUCUUUCUAUAUAAAUUUUACUUGCAACAAUAACCUCUUUCUAUGUACGUUUUGCUUGCAACAAAAGCAGUUUCUAUAUAAGUUUUACUUGCAACAAAAGCAGUUUCUAUAUAGGUUUUAGUUGCAACAAAUGCACUGUGCCUGCCUCUCUCUUUUUCCUCAUCCUGGCAGGCGACACUUCAGCUGAGGAGGAGUGGACUGGACUGGAGUGGAGUGGAGUAGCAAGAAGUAGAGAGGAGUAGAAUGGAGUGGAGCAGCCGGAGCUGUUGCACUUUGCACUUCAGCCCAAGGAGGCGGAGUUGAGGUGCAGGCCGACGUGUUUUUGAGGAACUUCCCUUCGGCGGCCAGGCAUCUCGUGCAUUUUCAAUGGCCUCCCUUGACUUUGACAUGACGAGCUGCGUGAUUGUGGCGUUUUGGAGGAUCUUCUGGCCGUAAAACACAGCCCGUGAUGAAUGGCAACUGCGCGAAAAAUGCAUAAAUGUGUGAACAAAUUUCUUUGCCCACUAAAUAUAGCCGCAUCGACUGCAAAACUAAUCUCGCGAAAAUGUCGAGGGCAUUCACCUUAAGUUUGUGCCGCUUGGCGGUGCCAAAUAUGGUGGCUCCUUGGAUCUGCAUACAUGGUCAUGACCAGUUCAAGGGCUGGGUGAAAUUGCCAUGCAAAUUGAGAUAUCAGGCGGGGGACAAAGAAAAAAGGUAGUGGUAUUGGCGCCAUUAUGUAAGGCCAUCGCAUUUAAUUAACCAAACGAGCAGCAAAUAUGGAAAGCGGUUGUUGGUUUUUGCUUCUUGGGUUUUGGUCUGUGGCCAGGGCCAAGAAACGCUAAUCUCUGCGGACGGGCAAACAUUUUCGUGCGGUUUCAGCGCUGUGGUUUUCGCUUUCGAAAUCAAUUUUCAAUUCAAUUUUCCCAUAUCGCGCACGCAUCGCAGAGACGCAAGCCAAUGAGCUGAAAGCGGCCAGGAAAUGUCAGUCAGGGCUUAAGGCUUUUUGCCGCUGCUCUGCUGAUUGAUUAAUGUGGAGCACGAUUGCAUAAGGGAUUGCAGUCGCAGUCGCCGAAAAUCUUACAUCUACGUGGGCGACACACUGGUAACCCAGUCAAGCCAUCAGUCAGUCAAUCACUCACUUAGCCACUUGGAGGUGGAGUGGUAGGUGGAUUGCUGUAUUGUUGGAUUGCUGGAUUGCUGUAUUGUUCGGGAGGAGCGGGAGUGGAAGUGGGAGUUGUCGCACAGAUAGAGACCACGUCUGUCUGGUUUGAAGGCCAAGAUAUAAUACCACACCGCGAUAUAGUUGAGUGCGGACCCAGUCGAGGGUAGUGUUGACUCUAGAUAGGAGCUGGACAACCCAGACAGUUGGUAUUGGCUUCUCGGUAAUGGCUUACCGCUAAUGAGCUCCAUAAACAUGCUGGAUAAAUUUGCAUUGGGGCUCUGGCCAAGAUAUCUCUCUUAACAUGGUUAACAAGUUCUGCUUGCCCCGCGCUUCAUGACAAGUCAAUCUCAAUCGGCUUAAGUUCACGAUGGCGUCUGGGUUCAUCGAACGUCGCUGUCAAGUUCCAAGUACUAUUGAAUGGCCCUAACUCUAAACAGUCUAUUUACUUUAGUGCAAGCCACAUGUAAGCCUAGUAAACUAUUGUCAUAAAAAACCCAAAACAUAAUGCUACUUAUCUGUGACUGAUGUGAAUCUUUCCUGCUAGGAAUGCCACUUUGGAAUGCGAUAGAAGUCAGUUACUUUGCAGGGCCUCUGCCAGAUCAUCGAGAGAAAAUUGCACUCCCAGUCGUGCCCGAGGAUGGCCAAUAGAUGCCCCUAUUUAGUAAGGCCGCAUCCGCGGAAUGCGCUGCCAUCCCCCAUUUGGAGCUGCUGCUCCACUAUGUACUAUCCAUCCAGUGCUGUGCCAGAUCGCCGCCCAAGGCAGUGGACCACAUGCCGCAGCUAGAUCCAAUGUCAAUGCAUCCAAUGAAAGGCAUCAAUUAAUGGUCAAUGCACUGAGCUGCGCUGCGCGUGGCGGCUGCAAAGAUUUUCGCUGGAAAAUCUACACUGCCGCAGGCCAAAGGAUUGAGGAGCGAGAAGUUGAGGCCAGGUUUGAGGCCAUCGACUGUCAUCCAGUUCGGGCCAAGAUUGGCGCAACGACCACCGUGGUCGUGGCAGCUGUUUUCUGCUGUUUUAUGCUGUUUUGUGGCAGCCAUAAUUGGCAUGUGGAAAACUGGCGGCGUGGCCAUAAAAAGCAGGUCAGGCCACUGCCAAGACAAUCAAAUAAUGGCCACUUCUUUAAUCGAUGACCAGUCGUCUCGCACACUCAGUUUGGUGGCAUCAUAAAAUUUCACUACCCAUUCUAUCGGCCAGCCGGAUUUUAGAUGCCAGCAUCCAGUGCCCAGUGUCUAGUAUGCAGUAUACCCAAAACCGAUCGGCGGCAAACAUAUGUUAAUGAAGCAAACCAGACGACGAUGGCGUGAUGGAAGACAGGAAAAGGCGAGCAACAAUUUAGCGCUUUAAUUUGAUGGCUGUGAGGAGCAGGAGCAGCCUGCUCCUUGCCACAAGACAGCCGGUCCUGGUGCAAAUUCUAUCAACAGCUACGUUAGAUGGCGAUGGCCAACACUAGAUGUGGCCAAGACUGCGCUGGGCAGGCAAUUUAUUUUAAUUACUGCCUCUCGCCGGGCUGAGAAUGUUCAAUGUUGGCUGAAUGCCUCAAUGGUUUGGUUGGCAAAAAUGGCGAUGGCGAUGGGUAUCCGAAAAAGCGCUAAAACCCUAACAAGAGAAAUCAAUUUUCGCGGGGCCCUGUUGCCACAUGUUGCAACAGCAACAGUUUGCCAUUGCGGCGUCGCAAUGUCCCAGAUCGUUGAACUCUGGGGCCGAUGGGCCCUCGGGGUCUUAAUUUGAAUUGACUUCCGUCAACAAAGAGGCUGCCCCGCAGUGGCAGGCUGUACGGCUCCGAGUCGAGAUUCUAAUUGCAACAUGCUGCAAAGUAAGUGCGGACACUUGCAAUUAAUAAGAAUUGCUGCCGCUGCACAAGAAAACCCAUAAAAGUGCCUGCUCUUGGCCUUCGUCUUCGUCUUUGUCUGCCUCCUUCACUGGGAUAUAAACUUUACACCGAAAAAUAUGGAACGUGUCCUUCUGCAGUAGUUACUACUUUCAGCGGUUAAGUAAUAAAGUUCGUUUUUAUUGCAUUUUAUUUGUCCGAGAAAAUGGAAUUUGUAAUUUUAGAUUUUCCCUUAAGCGCUUUAGUUUCUGAAGGUACACAAGUUUUUUACCAAUAUAUGAAACUUCACUUUCUUCUUCACUUCAUAGAUUUCUAUCGUAGAUGUUGUAUCACAGUGAUCUACCAAGUGAUUAUAGAGAUCCAGUUUGAGCAUAGUAGUAGGUUGGCUAUAUUUCUCUCAGUGCACCCGUGUCCAGAGCUGGAGCCGUGGAUCUUCCUUCGUGCUCUCGAGUCCGCUUUUAUAGCCAAAGGGCUGCAGUUGGCUCAAGGAAUGCGGCGUAACGCCAGCAACAUUUCACGCUUAAUUAUAGACGCCAAGCGCUAGGAAUUUUUCAUAAGACUGAGGACACCAGGUGGGUAGGGGGGUGAGGGGGGAUGUGGGGCAGGCAUUUCCUAUUGCCAUCAUCUAAUGCCUGGCCAAGGAAGAGGCUGCCACGUUUAUUUAUGUGUGGGCCGUUGUUUUGUAAUUUAAUAAGCAAUGCAAAAAAUAAAAGGGGCGCGACUAGAAAGCGCAGCUCCAACCCACCGAUCCACUGAUACUCUUCGCGUUCUGGCCAGGAUUGGGCAUGGCACUGUGGCGGAAUGCAUAUGGCAAAUUGCCUGCUGGGUGAGCGCCUAUAACGUUUUGCUGGUUUGCGAAUCGCUUGGCUAAUAGUCCAUCCACCCACACACACACAUUCUGGCCAAGAAAGAGACGGGCACACGCCGUUGACGCCUCUGACGACGAGUAUCGGCGCCAUGGACCAAACUGCUGACUCAGAUGACUCCACCGCAACCACCACCACCACCAUCACUGCCAACUCCUUCGUUCUGGCAGGCUGCAGGAAUGCUGCAAUGUUGCAUAUGCAAUUAAUAAUUGGUUGCACAUGCGCAGCGGUGUGCAACAUUCUGCUGCCCGCAGCAUGAUGCGGCAACACGAUGGCUAAAAAUAUCCGGCGGACCUUUGACACUGGCCAUGUCGCUGGAAAUUGUGACUAAUUAGUGGACGCCACGGAGUGUGUCCACCUCCGCAAAAUGUGGAGCCAGUGCCUCAAUGGGCGCCUGGCAUUGCCACACACUCGCGGCGAAUUAAGGCACGCAACACAUUCAUCAAGUUCAAUUGAAAACGACACUCAAAGAAAAAGCUUAAUAUGCGCACUCUAGUCAAACAAAUCAAAUGCCAAAUUAUACAUUUAAACACAAAGUUUUCAAAACAAAUUGCACUCAGAUAGAUGUAUUUUUACUAUCCAAAUUAGCUAAAUAACUAUCCAAAUUUUCUUGCUGUGCAACAGAGAUUCUAUCAUAACCCAAAUCUUGCACACAGUUUUGCCAGAAUGGAGUUCUCCCGUCUUAAUUGAUCCAUAAAACAGAGACAACUCUAUUGCUUUUUGUGGGUCAAGUUUAGUGUCAAAGCCUUGGCCGUAGUUUCUGCCCCCCAUUUCUUUUUGGCAUUCCCCUCUCUGUUACGAGUAUCCACUGUGUCUGGAUGCCUAAUUAAAUGCCUGGGCAUAAUAUUAAUUUAUGGUAAUUUAAUACUUUAUUCAGAGUCUGAGGAGUGCAGCAGACGCAAUAGAAGAUUUAUGCUGCGCCUCUCUCCAGAUGAAACAAAUUGCUGGCAAUUUCCAAUUUCCAAAGGCUUUCAAAGGGGCCACAAUCUGGAGAAGAUCUUUUCAAUAAUUUGCGCCAAUUAGAAGCAUAUUCAGAGUGGCAUUCAAGUGAGUUUCGAGCGCUCCUCUAUUCCAUUAUUAUGAUGAGGUUGGCCCCUCGCUCCGUGGGCUUGUGCAAUGCCAGAGAAUCGACUUCAGAAACAUUUGGCCCAAUGGACUGGCGAUCGACUGCAGCUAUAAAUAGUUCUCCCACUUUUUUGUUCAGUUUGGGGGCAACAUGAUGUUGAAAUUUUGAUUGCGACAUUCCGGCGCUCGUUCCACGAACAAAUUGUGCUAAAGGAGUGGAGAUGGGGAACGAGAUUUGCUGUUGGGAUCUGUAGAACUUUGCUGCAUUUGAUUUACGGCAAAUGCCCGUGUUGACAUGCCGCAAAGCUUUCCGCUUAAUGAUGGCAUUUUCUUCGCAUUUUCGUAGCAUUUUCCUCGCAUUUUCGUAGCAUUUUCCCCACAGUUUCGUAGCUCUUUCCCCGCAUUUUCUUAGGAUUUUCGUAGCAUUUGUCUAGCUGGCGUGUGGCAAGCUGAUGACCUGGAAAAGCCAUGGAAAAGCCAAACAGAAAAGAACGCAGUCGCCUAAUUAAAUUCUUUUCGUGUGUCGCAGACACGCCAUCUUUAUCGCCGCCAACUGCGCCAACUUUUGUGUGACUUGAGACUUGAGUCUAACCCCGUUUGGGUUAUGCUAAUUCGGUCGUGCCGGGAUGUAACCACAUAUUGCCAGCCAUUUUUCUUGCUCUUUUUUCCUUUUUUGGCCCACUCUAAUGGCAAUGGCAACGUGUGGCACCUGCAGCUGGCGGGCGGAUCGUGAUCGGCGGUGGGCGUGGCUAAUAGGCGCGCAAUAACAACAACUAAUGACUAAAUUUCACAUAGCUCUGGCAACCUUUUAGGAAGCAAAUGUUAAUUAAAUUUAAUCACGUUUGCGACGCGACAACAUGGCCAGUUCAAAGGUUAAGUGAGUGCGCCAAAAGUAACCGCAUUCGGCUGCAGGCGACACACCCCCGCCAACUUUAUAGUUGCCACAAAAAUCCAAUAGAAAAUAAACAGAAAACACUAGCAAAAAGCGGCAAAAAUCCAGGCGUAUCAACAACGCAUCAGCAACAUUAGUUGCAGGUUGCAUUUCGUCGCUUGUGGCAUAAACGCCAAUUAUGUGCAACAUAUGCAUGGUCUGUGGAGAGCAAAGCGUGGCAUGUUUGCCAAUUUUUCAUUUCCUGCAAUGGCCAAAACAAAACUCGUACCUGCUGCUGCCAACAUCGCGAGUGGCUGCUGCUGUUGCUGUUGCUGUUGCAAGUUGCUGCCGCAAGUUGCCAGCAGAUGCGAGCGCGGCGAUAAGGCGCCAAAUGUGCAACAGCCAUGAACCAGGUAGCCAGGCGGAUAAACCAAAACAAAAAAAAAAACACAAUUCAGCCUUGGCAACGGGCGCAGCCUUAGAAUGACGGCAGCAACGUUGCUGCAACGUUGCAACUGCAACAUCGCCGCACUGCAACAGCAAUUGUCAUUUUUCACGAACGAACGCGGCAUGCAAAUUGCCGUAAAUUGAAUUUGUCUGAUUACGUUUGCGCCGCAGUCCGGUAAUCGAUUGUCUUGGGACUUGCAACUUGCGACUUGCGGCUUGCAGACUCCUCCCAGCUUCAAUAUUUACUCUUUCGCAGGAUUCGAUCGCCGGUGAAAAUGGGGAGGGAAAAAAUGAAAAAUUGUGCCAGCCAGGCGGCAGAUAAAUGAUUGCACUCGAAUUGCAUUUCGAUGAUUGCAAAAUUGCCGAGUUGCAGAUGCAACGCACCACAAAUUAUCUGCUGCAUGUGGCAAACGGAGAUGCGAGAACCUAAUGGAGAUUACAGGGUGCGAGAUGCCAAAGAAAUGCAGAGAAUAUUAUUGGUAAACAGUGUGAGUUCGCUAGAAAUGCUUAGUAGUUAUGCCCAGAAAACCUUGGCCAUCAAAUUCCCCUCCAGAAAUCACAGCGGUGUGGUUUAGGUUGCCAAAAUCGAAUCCGGCGGAUGUUUAUCGUGCCACAGUCACAGUCACAACAAACAGCAUAUCGAUUACCCCCAGGCAGUCUGUCUUUCGUUCACACGCUGCUCGAGAAGUGGAGAAGUUGAGAAUCCGAGAAGGAUAAGGGGAGUGAUGCAUGCUCGCCAGGAUGAGUCAUACCCCAUAUUGGCCAUAAAUUCCAACAGAUCUUGGGAUCUGGAGAGGAUGGGGGGAGAGCAAAGCUGUCAAGGGGCGAGUGGAGCCCGGUUCAGCGAUCGACGAUGCAAACAAAGAGCAGCUGCUUACCGACUGCUGUUCUGAUUCUGGAAGUGCGCAAAGUCAGCGAACAGCAAUGCGGCGGCUGAACAGGAAACAUGUGCCUGCCACGCCCUCUUGGGCGCAUGCAAACCUGGCAACCUGAGGGGGGGGCUACCCCCAAAACGAUCGAGCUUUUCCUUUCACGAAAUGCGUUCGCCGCCGCCGCCAAAGCCAUUAACAUAAAAAUAAGUUUCGCUUUUUGCGCUGCCAUAUCGCGACCAGCAAAUCGCCAAGGCGAAAUGAAGUUGUAAGCAAUGGAUUCGCGACUCUUUGGCGCUUUUUUUUGGCGUUACGUGAGUGGCGAAGAAAAACCGAUCGAAACGCAAUAAAUUUCACAAACGCGCGCAACAAUUAGAAACCAAGCAGCAAUGGCAAUCGCAGCAGCAGCAGCAACAGCGACAACUGCAACAAGCAUUGCAACUGCAACAGCAACAUGGCGCAGGCUGCGCAUGCGCAUGAGCGUCGAUAAUUUCUUGCUAUCGACGCGCCAUGAUCACGUAAAUUAUGUCCAAAACUGAAAAUAAAAUCAGGCAACAAGCUGGAACCAAAAAACAACAAAAUACAAAAAAUGCCAUGCGACGGUAUAUUUCGUAUUGGAAUCCAAGCGAUAUGCAUUUUGGGCAUUCAAGCGCUGCCUAUAAAAUUGUUUUUCUUUUUUUUUUUUUGUCUACUUUUGUUGGGUUUUGAAUAUUUUGUUGUUGCCUUUACCGCUUGAUUAAUUUUGGUGCGUUUGGCAACAGCGAAAAACUUUUAAAGCGUCAUUUUCUCGAUGCCGCUUUCUGUGUGUAUCUAUGUGUGUGUUCAACUUGAUUAGUAAAAUCAAUUUUCGUCGCUCAGCGAUUUCUAAUUAAUUGCUAUUGGCCUUUGGGGGAAUUGGUUUCGCUGGCUUAAGGAUACGUACCAAAAGAUAUAUGAGCUAUUAUGGAUUUUCAAUUACAUUUUAGAUAAGUUGCGCCACACAGAUUCUCUUUAAGUAAAUGAAAUGAACACAGUUUUCUACCAUUUUUCGACCAUCUUUUGUUUGGGUAUACAUAUCUCGGAAUUCCACGGCUGAGCUGCAUUUAAAUUAAUUCAUAUUCGCUUAACAUAAUCAAGUUUUUAGCAGUUAACCCACGAAUGCAGCUGCUAUUUUUAGGCCUCCUUUACGACUUGGCUCUUUCGAGCCCUGUCACUUCGUUCGCCAGUGAUUCAUGCAUUUUUACUUGGCCAACGCCCGCCUAAUUAAGAUAAAUACACAGAUGGGAUCUCUGGUUCAGCAUAGAGAUGCUGCUGGUGUUGCCAAUGUUGCUGGUGUUGCCGAUGUUGCUGCUGUCAUGUCAUUGUCGCUGCUGCCGGGGAACGUGUGGAAAUGCAGUCGCCGCUUUUCAGUUAACACGGUUCUGCGGCGGGUUGGGCCCAAACCGUAGCAACGGUUGUUAACAUCGCAGCUCCUUUCUAGCCGCAGGUUGCAGGUACUCGAAACAACAACUGCAACACCACCAACAGCAGCAACAGCAACAAAUUGCAGACGACACGAGGCAAGAAGGCAGCAAAAGCAGCAGCAGCAGGAGGAGAAUGGAUGCGAACGCCUCCUCCUCUGCAUAAACAACACUAGCGCCACCUACGUGCUCCGUUCCCAGCCGCACAGAUAUCCCCCCAAGAUCCCCACAAAGGAGCAUGGGUGUCCGCAGAUGGUAUCGCCCUUGCCCCUGGCCCAUGCCAUGCCUCCGCAUCUUGGCCAACUGCUGCCUACGGGGCUUAAAGCCCAACUCUGCUGUCGCUUGGUGUUGCAACGUCGCUGGUGUGGCAGUUGCCGCUGCUGUCGCUGCAACGGAAGUCAGUAAACUUUCAGGGUUAUUAUUAUGCCCAGGCUGUUGGGCCCCAAAGAAACCUGUGGCCCCACUUCAGCUGUCACUGCCGAUCGCAGCCGCUUGGGAAUUGCAAUUGCCAAAAUAAAGCUGUUCUGCUGCAUUCACAGCUGCUUACAGCUAAUUCUACACGAGGAAACAAAGAAACCCACUCCCAUUUCACUUGAUAAUGAUUGCUUGAUAGGGAAGCAGAAAUUUGUGAAGCUUCUAAACAUUCCAAAAAACAAUAAACAAUAUUAGUCAACAAAUUUUACUCAUGGUAAAGAAAUCUGCUUAUCAGUUUGCUAUGCAAACUGUGUUUUCAAUUUAAAUAACUUAUGAGUGCACAUAAAAAGUAUCUUCUUAAAAUAAUGUUCUGAAAUAUUCACUUUUUUUUCCGGUGUGCAGCAAAAACAAGCGAACAGCUCUCCUUUCCGGUAUUUCCCCCCAAAGAAAAACCCCAUUUGCAUGGGCUUUCCCUGCGGAAAAAGGGCCGGACGGGAAAAUUGGUCACGGUGUGGCCUAAAUGGCAGGUACUAGUGCGAGAAACGCUUAUCGGCAACGGCCAUCGAUUUCGGCGAGGCUUCACUGUAAUUCAACUGUUUGUGCGAGCGCAUUGAACUUCUUUUGUUCGCCAUUCUAAAUCCACUGGCCAUUAUCUUGGCGUCGCCCCCAAACCCCCAAUCCGUUCACUUUGGGGCUUCUUUGGUUCUUUGGUGAUAAGCCAAUUGCGCAUAGUUCACACCCCGCACGACUCUGCAGAUACCAGUGACCCCAAAUCGCGGCCUGAUUAAUUAACUGCCAUGGAUAUGGCUAAUCAAUGACUAUAACGGCAUCUGCGGGCUUAUGGCUCAAUCUGCAUCAAUCUAGCUAGGAAAUCGUACACCCAUUAUGCGGUCUUCGCUCGCCAUUAUCGUCUGUGCCGCGUACUUGGGCCCAAUAUCACAUUACCAUAUACCAUAUAUACCAUAUACCCUAUACCAUAUAUCUUCCCCGCCCCCGCCCCGAAGAGCAGUCAUUGACUUUUGUUUAUUAAUUUAAAGUGGUGUUGUCGCUCUUUGCAACGCUAAUCCGUUUUAUCUGCCGCCUCCGCUUGUUCGCUGGGUAUUUGAUGUUCGAUUUCCAUAGAAAAGAUUUAUAUCGCCGCCUUUGCGGGGGAGCCAAAGGGUUUGCGGGUGUUUUCAGUGCAACGAAAAGUAUCUAAAAUACUUGUAUCUCAUGUUUACUUAUCAUCAUUGGGUGGUUGAUUUGCAGUAGUUCACCAAUUUUCACAGUGUGUUUAUGUUCAGCUUCUCAAGUCUGCAACCACUUGGUUAAACUUGGUCCAAAAAUAACCCAAUCUCUGUGUGUACUACUAAGAACUAUCUUUGGGAUGCGGGCGUGUGUUCUUUUUUGGGGGUGGACAGUGACACAGUUUGUCGUGGAGAGCAUUGCACUCGCUGGGCAACGCCGGGUCAACAUAUCGAUGCGGCAACAAUGUUGCUGCCCACCCAUGUCCACUACUCACCUGGCUGUCGCCGUUGUUUGCUGUAUGUGGGGCGUACUGUAGCCGCUCUUAACCCGCUUCAAUCCACUGGUAAUCCGGUAAUCCAAUAAAGACCAAUAAAGACGGGAUAUAGUUCAAGUGGAGGAGGCCCAGCGAUUACAAGGCACAGCAGCCGCACUGAUAACAAGUUGCUGCUGGGUUUUUAUGGCAUGCAAUUAUUGCCCGAGACACAGAUACAGAUACACAGCUGUAGAUACAACACACGAAUGGCCAUUUAAGUUUGUUCAGUCGAGUGGAAAAUUCUUCAUUCAAUUAUGAUUUAAAGUAAAUGCUUUUGGGGCGCUGCACUGCACUUAACUUUGAACUUAACAUUUCGGUUUUUCGAGCGCUCGCCUCACUUUUUGUUAUCGGCAAUUGGAAAUGCAUUGACCUCGUUUCGGGGCAACAAAGUUGCCAAACACUGUAAACAUUUUUGGUUUUGUGGGUUUUUUUCUAUUUUUUACUUUUGUUAUUUUUCUGUUUGCCUGCCAGCGGGGGAGGGCGUGUCACAGGGGGCGGGGUGCAGUAACAAUUGGUGCGCAACGGAAGCAAACUAUAUGGCAUGCAUAUACAUAUAUUCCAAGGGGGGGCUGCUCAGAAACAAUUUAAAAACGCAUCGCUGCACACAUUUUCACUGCUCUUUCCUCAUAUGUUUGAACAAAAAACACGGUCAGCUGCAAGAAUGCGCACUUUCGAAGGUUUCACUGUUCGUUUCCUGUGCGAUGUUCACCGGUCAACGUGAGACUGAAAACUGAAAACUAAAAACUGAAAACAAAACCCAACCGAAACCCAAAUCAAAAUGUAACAGUCGCCCCGAAAGAGAGAGAGAGAGUGACCAAAUGCCAGAGAAAGAGAGAGAGAGAGAAAAAAGAGAGUUUUAGUGCUGCGGAUUGAGUGCUCAUGCGCGUGGGCGAUGGUCGUCCCGCUUAGGGGGUGACUACUGUCAACUGGCGCUGCACUUGUGCGUGUAUCUCGCAGAUGCGCGCACCGUAUCUGCCGGAUGCAUUGUGUGGGCCCCUUGUGCAGCCGUAUCUGCAUCUCAAGGGUUGGACCUCAAACUGGGGUAAUAGUCGCAUUCACUGCUGCUCCCAGUUGAAGAUGAAGCUGCAGUUGGAGAUGGGGAUUUCGAUGGAGUGGAGUCUGUUGAUUUACGAGUAUUGAAUGCAGUGGAAGCCCCGCUCUUCGGUAAGCGGUGAAAGUGUUUUCCCCCACCGCCCCGCUCCACCACUCCCCCACAUGUGAACACAAUGGGGACCAGAAACAGAUUUCGUCACACAGCGGAAAACAAGAAAAGCAAAUCAACUGCAUAUUGUCAUCUCGAGAUUGUUGUAUAACACUUGAGUUAUCAGAGUAACCUUUUCUUUAUUAGUUGGCUACCAAGUUUGAGUUCUUAUACGAAAGUAGUUGCCUUUAUGCAUAGGUAAAUAAUAUUUACAAAUUCGGCACAAGAAAUGUUACUUUAAAAAAAAAUAUUUGGGCAUUUAACAUUUAUGAUUUUUGUUUUCUUAUGAACACUUACAAUGUUCUUUAGGAAAUAAAUAUUAAGUAAAAAUACUAACAAUGCUGAAUAAAAAAAAGGAUUUUUUUUGUAACCAAUAUUGGUUAAAGCAAAUAUCAAUAUAAAAUAUUUAUUUUCCACUCUGUGAAAGUGGCGAUGCGGGUUUAUUCAACUCUCGAGUGAGGAGCGGAAAACAGGGGAUGAGAUUUUCCACCCACCUCGUGGGGAUGCUGGGAGCGACCGGCGAAAACUGUUGCGUGCUUUCGGGAGUUCCCGGGAAAUUGGCGCACUCGUGCACUGGGACAACAAAUAAUCGAGGGCUGCUGAGGUGGGUAUCCGUAUCCGUAUCCAACCGGGGGUUGCUCAGCUCCGCCCUUUAAGGGCACUCCUUGAAAACGCAGCCACAGUGCAGCAAAUAUUGCCAUAUAAACAGGGUGACUUUGCGCACACUGUAAUGUGCCAUUGUAAUGGAAAUCCAACUUUGACACGCGAUUGCUGAGAGGGGUGAACACGCUGACACUGCAAUCUGUUUAAUUGAGGUGUUUAGCACGGUGAAUAAUUAAAACAACAGAAAGAAUUCCUCAUGUGAGAGGGGAAGGGGGGCAGCACACAAAGGUCAAAAUAAUAAAUUAGACACGCGUCUGAGUGGAGUUGAAAUGGAGAGUGUUUAGGGAUGGUAUUAUAGAUGCUUCUAGAUAGACCAACAACAGGAUAAAACUUCUUGUGAGUUUGCCUCUAACUUCACCAUACAUUCUUCCUCGAAAAAUGUCCCCAUCCAUUGGAAAUACUUCUCCAAUUCGGAACAUACUCGAAUUACACGUUGCCAUCGCUAGCUGCGUGGAGUUCUAUUACCAUUUGGGCGCAACAAAUGUGUCUGGAGCACAUUUCGUGACCAGGCACAUGUCAUUAGCCAAACCAGCCCAAACAAAUGAUGACUGCACCACGCACUUGGAAGGAGCCGCUUGGCUGAAAAACUGUGCCACCGCAGAAAACAGAGUACUAAAAGCUAGGUAAUAAAGCGUUAUUAUGCCGUUACAACAUGUCAACUGCACAGUGAAAAAAAAAGUUCUGUCAAAAGACCUUAAAAUACUGGUUAAACAGUCUAUUACACAGCAGAAAAACGUUUUAUAACUUUCAUGUAUCUUAAAAUCUUUCAGCAGCUCAACUGUGCAGCAAUGAGGGUUUCAAACUUAAGGCUAUAAGUAUUUAUACAUUCUCAAGGUUGAUAACAGGUGGAUUUAUGUUUCAAGCCUUUGUCGCACUUCGUAGACUGACUACUGUAGCUGAAGCCCGCCGAUCGCUUGCGUAAGAGCAAACAGUGGGCUCGCAAAGUAAUGCGACAGGCGUUAAAUGCGCCGGCAAUCGAUUUGAUUCGCAGUCGCGAUGCGAAUUUAAUUGAAAUGAAAAAUAGCCGCCCAUUCGCACAGUGGGCAGUUGGCGGUGGACACUCGCCAGUGGGCGUGGCAGUCACUGGGCGGCUGCGAAGGCUGCGGAGGCUGAGGACAUUAAACUGAAGUCGGGGACCCAGAAAGUGGAGGCCAGCUGUAAGGAAGUCAGUCGGUCGUCUGGCAAAUGCGAAUACAAAUGUAAAUGUAAAUGCAAAUGCAAAUGCUGGGCUGCCCACGCGAAAUUAUGAAAAAUUAUGAAAACUGACCAAGUUGCAGCUGGAAAAGCCACAAGGAGCUGAACGUGGAGAUGCCGAGUUGGCCAAAAGUGCAUUUCACGCUGGCUAAUGAAACAAAUUAUAAGUGGCCACUGUCGUCGGACUUUUGCGGAAAACAAACCGAAACCAUUUGCCGCCUGAUUACGAAGACGAUGGUCAUAAUUAUAUGUUUAUGAUGAUGAUGAUGAAUGCCUGGCGCGUGACGCAUGCGCAGUAAACAAAGAAUAUCUGGGAUAUCAGGAGAAGAAUUUCAGUUCUUCGGGGAUCAUCAUGGCUGCCAAAUCUCAAGUGAUUCAGUCUAUGGCGUUGAGUCAACUGGCUGAAUAAUUUCCCAUUCACCCGUAGACAAUAAAUAAGUUCGGAAAUGUAAUGUAGAUAAUAAACAUUAGUGUUGAGA